Salvator merianae (Argentine black and white tegu) is the source of this 1561-nucleotide long non-coding RNA. Lineage: Eukaryota; Metazoa; Chordata; Lepidosauria; Squamata; Teiidae. The record is from Ensembl.
GAAGUCUUUCUUGCCAUGGAAUCCACUGUGAAAUCAGCAUUAGGCGCCCCUGUUAGCCAGCUGUUCUGCUGCAUCUCGGCAGACUUCUCCAAGGAAAAGGACGCCGCCUUUCCAACACGCUGCNGCGGGAACCGGACCCGAGACUCACCCCAGAAGAAACCAGCCAACCCCAAACAAAAGAGCAAACGGGACGCAGCCUUUGCUCAACAGAAGAGUCAGCGUGCAAUGAUGAGAGCUCACAUCCGGGAAAAGUACAAACUGCCUAAAAACCGGACAGAUAAGAAGCAGAUGGAAGCCGCUGNGGGUGUCGCCAAGCUCCCCCAAGACCUCCUGGCAAUUGUCAGGUCCAAGGCUGCUCCCGAGCCUUCCUCCAUCUUAUCGAGCCUCAAGGCCCUCGAUUUCAGCUCUUUGCGGCUAAGUGCUGAGAAUGCAGUGCAAUCCCUCCAGCGCCCGGUCCAGUGUCCUGUUAUGUGAGGGACCCCUCCAUGGAACUGGACCUCAGCGAUCCCUUGGACAGUUGUGGAGUCUGCGAACUGCCAAGCUUCACUGCUGAAACGAAGGCCUCCACACGCUCGAAAUGGACACAACCGCCACUGAACGGGGGGCCGUGUGAAUCGGCUAACCCCCUCCCCGUGAGAGAAGGGGAACCUGGGAGCCACCUGCAAUUCCACGAGCAAUGCUGCUAGCCUAGGCACAGAGGCAGUAACCCUGCCUGGCCCCUCCAUACGCGGUUUCGCCUUUCUCGAACCAGUCAGGCCUGUGGAGGCCGGCUCGUCUAAGAUGUCACUGCAAAAGGCUUAUAGGUAACGAAGCUAGCCGGUUCGUGGAUUGGACCCUGCUCUUCCGANGCACGGAACUGUGACGCUAGAAGCGGAGCACGUGAUUUCUGUGAAAAAAGGNGUUCCUUGACUGCGCAUCUCUGGUAGCCAGGACCGGGACAGAAUCAUGCCCAUAGUGUCAGGAAACUGUUUCCAGCCGCAGCAGGCAAUAUGGUCUUGGGUCAGAGAUUGCCAACCUUCGUGGUGCUGCUGGCAUAGAUGGCGUUCUGAGAAAGCAUAGUGGUUGCCACAGCACGGCUUGCUGCAGGAGUAAAGAAAUGAAGAGAAAAGGUUAGAUUAAGAAAGAAGGCAUCCUGCUGGCGUUGGGAAGGAAAGGGGGGGUGUCCCUUGGACGGGGGGGGCGUGUUCCAACAAAACACCAUCCUUUCUUUCUCCCUGUUAUCACAACUGUACACUAUCACUAUAAUUAACCGACAUCAGUACAGGUGAAAAAAGUGCACCAUUUGUGAAUAAGUGGGGUUCUUUUGUAUCCCAUUUGCCUUUCACCCCUGCAACCAAACCAUAAGCACAGCCCUGCAUUCUGCAGGGGAUUUUCCCUGCAUGAGAUGUAUGUUCAUGUUUCUCAAGAUUUCGACACCGCAUUAUCACAUACGCCUCAGGAUGGUGAACAAGGGUAAACAGGAGGAAAACAAACAAUUCAAAAGCAUAAAAUGCGCCAAAACCCUGUUUGUUCUUUCUUUAAAGAAAAGAAGAUGAAAAUAAAAAAAAUAUAAACAAGUACA